CCAGAGAUGGAUUGGUGGCCUUCGGGAACUCUGAGACAGGUGCUGCAUGGCUGUCGUCAGCUCGUGUUGUGAAAUGUUGGGUUAAGUCCCGCAACGAGCGCAACCCUUAUCCUUUGUUGCCAGCGGUUAGGCCGGGAACUCAAAGGAGACUGCCAGUGAUAAACUGGAGGAAGGUGGGGAUGACGUCAAGUCAUCAUGGCCCUUACGAGUAGGGCUACACACGUGCUACAAUGGCGCAUACAAAGAGAAGCGACCUCGCGAGAGCAAGCGGACCUCAUAAAGUGCGUCGUAGUCCGGAUUGGAGUCUGCAACUCGACUCCAUGAAGUCGGAAUCGCUAGUAAUCGUGGAUCAGAAUGCCACGGUGAAUACGUUCCCGGGCCUUGUACACACCGCCCGUCACACCAUGGGAGUGGGUUGCAAAAGAAGUAGGUAGCUUAACCUUCGGGAGGGCGCUUACCACUUUGUGAUUCAUGACUGGGGUGAAGUCGUAACAAGGUAAGCGUAGUGCU
This 510-nucleotide ribosomal RNA is filed under the name uncultured bacterium. Its description in RNAcentral is "bacterial SSU rRNA". It matches the Rfam family "Bacterial small subunit ribosomal RNA", at positions 1000 to 1509 of the family's 1533-position model. The record is from RNAcentral.